GAGGCGUUGAGCUAACCAAUACUAAUUGCCCGUGAGGCUUGACCAUAUAACACCCAAACAAUU
Molecule: ribosomal RNA, 63 nt
Filed under: Stutzerimonas stutzeri
Lineage: Bacteria; Pseudomonadati; Pseudomonadota; Gammaproteobacteria; Pseudomonadales; Pseudomonadaceae
Description: Pseudomonas stutzeri partial 23S ribosomal RNA
Source: RNAcentral